UUCGCUAAGAAGAAGAAGGGGGGAGGCAAACGCUGUAAUGGCGAAGGCUCGUCCCCGGUAUCAGGUUCCGAUGGCCCCUAUGCCGUACUACCCGUAUCCAUACGUUGUCGUAGCUUAAUACCAACAACCGCCUUUCCAGUAUCAACCACAGAGAAGCAAUCAACAAUCAGCUCCUACUCAGAAAGAUCAGAAUCGACAAUACAACUGUGACAAUAAAGGGCAGAAUCAAGGGCAGAAU
Molecule: long non-coding RNA, 238 nt
Filed under: Lathyrus oleraceus (garden pea)
Lineage: Eukaryota; Viridiplantae; Streptophyta; Magnoliopsida; Fabales; Fabaceae
Description: Pisum sativum (pea) long non-coding RNA (PSAT_LNC020154)
Source: RNAcentral